CAGUAGGUUGGUGACUGUGAGCCAGGGGCGGUAGCGUG
Molecule: non-coding RNA, 38 nt
Organism: Cedecea davisae DSM 4568
Lineage: Bacteria; Pseudomonadati; Pseudomonadota; Gammaproteobacteria; Enterobacterales; Enterobacteriaceae
Source: Rfam